ACCGUCCAGCCCUGUAGGGUGUAUAUGACCCUCGGCUUGUAACCGAGUGGGUUCGGGUUCGAAUCCCGAGUAAGGCA
This is a non-coding RNA of Trichonephila inaurata madagascariensis, 77 nucleotides long. Lineage: Eukaryota; Metazoa; Arthropoda; Arachnida; Araneae; Nephilidae. The record is from the annotation of a GenBank genome assembly.